ACCUGGCUGGCUCAGUCAGAAGAGCGUGUGACUCUUGAUCUUGGAGUCAUGGGUUCGAGUCCCACAUCGGGUA
RNAcentral lists this transfer RNA (73 nucleotides) under Ailuropoda melanoleuca (giant panda). It matches the Rfam family "tRNA". Rfam says of the family: Transfer RNA (tRNA) molecules are approximately 80 nucleotides in length. The record is from Rfam by way of RNAcentral. Lineage: Eukaryota; Metazoa; Chordata; Mammalia; Carnivora; Ursidae.